CGGGGUGAGUAAUGUCUGGGAAACUGCCUGAUGGAGGGGGAUAACUACUGGAAACGGUAGCUAAUACCGCAUAACGUCGCAAGACCAAAGAGGGGACCUUCGGGCCUCUUGCCAUCAGAUGUGCCCAGAUGGGAUUAGCUAGUAGGUGGGGUAACGGCUCACCUAGGCGACGAUCCCUAGCUGGUCUGAGAGGAUGACCAGCCACACUGGAACUGAGACACGGUCCAG
Molecule: ribosomal RNA, 228 nt
Filed under: uncultured bacterium
Lineage: Bacteria
Description: partial 16S ribosomal RNA
Rfam family: Bacterial small subunit ribosomal RNA
Source: RNAcentral